AGCGGCGGACGGGUGAGUAAUGCCUAGGAAUCUGCCUGGUAGUGGGGGAUAACGUCCGGAAACGGGCGCUAAUACCGCAUACGUCCUACGGGAGAAAGCAGGGGACCUUCGGGCCUUGCGCUAUCAGAUGAGCCUAGGUCGGAUUAGCUAGUUGGUGAGGUAAUGGCUCACCAAGGCGACGAUCCGUAACUGGUCUGAGAGGAUGAUCAGUCACACUGGAACUGAGACACGGUCCAGACUCCUACGGGAGGCAGCAGUGGGGAAUAUUGGACAAUGGGCGAAAGCCUGAUCCAGCCAUGCCGCGUGUGUGAAGAAGGUCUUCGGAUUGUAAAGCACUUUAAGUUGGGAGGAAGGGCAUUAACCUAAUACGUUAGUGUUUUGACGUUACCGACAGAAUAAGCACCGGCUAACUUCGUGCCAGCAGCCGCGGUAAUACGAAGGGUGCAAGCGUUAAUCGGAAUUACUGGGCGUAAAGCGCGCGUAGGUGGUUCGUUAAGUUGGAUGUGAAAGCCCCGGGCUCAACCUGGGAACUGCAUCCAAAACUGGCGAGCUAGAGUACGGUAGAGGGUGGUGGAAUUUCCUGUGUAGCGGUGAAAUGCGUAGAUAUAGGAAGGAACACCAGUGGCGAAGGCGACCACCUGGACUGAUACUGACACUGAGGUGCGAAAGCGUGGGGAGCAAACAGGAUUAGAUACCCUGGUAGUCCACGCCGUAAACGAUGUCAACUAGCCGUUGGGUUCCUUGAGAACUUAGUGGCGCAGCUAACGCAUUAAGUUGACCGCCUGGGGAGUACGGCCGCAAGGUUAAAACUCAAAUGAAUUGACGGGGGCCCGCACAAGCGGUG
RNAcentral lists this ribosomal RNA (844 nucleotides) under Pseudomonas sp. RNAcentral describes it as "bacterial SSU rRNA". It matches the Rfam family "Bacterial small subunit ribosomal RNA", at positions 94 to 934 of the family's 1533-position model. The record is from RNAcentral. Lineage: Bacteria; Pseudomonadati; Pseudomonadota; Gammaproteobacteria; Pseudomonadales; Pseudomonadaceae.